This is a small nucleolar RNA of Equus asinus (donkey), 129 nucleotides long. NCBI's taxonomy places the organism in Eukaryota, Metazoa, Chordata, Mammalia, Perissodactyla, Equidae. The record is from Ensembl.
UUGAUUUGACAGACCUGAAACAGUUACUCUCUACUUCUGAGGUUUGCGCUACAGAUACAGGAAAAAAGUAUCCUCGUGCUUUCUGUCUGUCUGAUUGUGGCAGCCAAGACUGAAUGGGGGAAAACAGGG